UACGAAGGGGGCUAGCGUUGUUCGGAUUUACUGGGCGUAAAGCGCGCGUAGGCGGGCAUUUAAGUCAGGGGUGAAAUCCCAGGGCUCAACCCUGGAACGGCCUUUGAUACUGGAUGCCUGGAGAUCGGGAGAGGUUGGUGGAAUUCCGAGUGUAGAGGUGAAAUUCGUAGAUAUUCGGAGGAACACCAGAAGCGAAGGCGGCCAACUGGCCCGAUACUGACGCUGAGGCGCGAAAGCGUGGGGAGCAAAC
RNAcentral lists this ribosomal RNA (250 nucleotides) under uncultured bacterium. Its description in RNAcentral is "partial 16S ribosomal RNA". It matches the Rfam family "Bacterial small subunit ribosomal RNA", at positions 524 to 773 of the family's 1533-position model. The record is from RNAcentral.